UACGUGUGGACCAAGCGUUGUUCGGAAUUACUGGGCUUAAAGGGUGCGUAGGUGGCGAGGCAAGUCAGUGGUGAAAGUCAACUGCCCAACGGUUGAAUUGCCAUUGAUACUGCCUGGCUCGAGUGUGCUAGGGGGAUGCGGAACGAGUGGUGUAGCGGUGAAAUGCGUAGAUAUCACUCGGAAGGCCAGAGGCGAAGGCGGCAUCCUGGGGCACAACUGACACUGAGGCACGAAAGCGUGGGGAGCAAACAGG
RNAcentral lists this unclassified non-coding RNA (253 nucleotides) under uncultured Planctomycetota bacterium. Its description in RNAcentral is "uncultured planctomycete contains 16S-23S intergenic spacer region". It matches the Rfam family "Bacterial small subunit ribosomal RNA", at positions 524 to 776 of the family's 1533-position model. The record is from RNAcentral. Lineage: Bacteria; Pseudomonadati; Planctomycetota.